Molecule: long non-coding RNA, 608 nt
Filed under: Homo sapiens (human)
Lineage: Eukaryota; Metazoa; Chordata; Mammalia; Primates; Hominidae
Description: HSALNT0369824
Source: RNAcentral
AUUUAAUUGGUUGUCACCAAUGGAACCAAAAUGACUUCAUUUGGUUUCAACCUGGUCAGAUAUAGAUUUUCAAUGGUUACCAGGAAGGAAAUGUGUUUAUAAUCAGAGGCAGAGAAAAGGAAAUGGUUAUAGCUGGUUACAAAACAAGCAUAAAACCUCCACACUGUUUCUCAUGUUACAAGAGCAAAUAGGAAAGAAGCCACAAAUGGGGAUGGUAGCACAGAGUGUGUGUUGGGUAAACACUAGAGAAACGGGAGAAUGUUCUGGGUCUCUGCUUUUUUCAUUAUAGAAAGGCAGCAAGGGAAGCCGCUGAACAGAGUACAAGGCUGUCUGCUUACUAACUCACCCUCACAGCCAUUGCUCUGAUUGGGCUUCAUCUUCAGGAUCAUACUGGUAAUGCCGUGUUUCAUCUCCUAUUACAAUCCUUAAAUGAAAUGCUUCAGGAUCUCGAUCCCACUUCUUUAAAAAUUCCAUUGAAAGCUCUGCUCUUGUCUGCAGCUGAUCUGAGUGCAGUGGUUUUGUUACCUAUCCAGUGAAAAGUUUGUUCAACUUUAAUUUGUCAUUCAGAAUUGUGUAAGCUGAACCAAUUGAGAUGUCUAUGGUGUUGG